AUUGAACGCUGGCGACAUGCCUUACACAUGCAAGUCGAACGGCAGCACGGGUGCUUGCACCUGGUGGCGAGUGGCGAACGGGUGAGUAAUACAUCGGAACAUGUCCUGUAGUGGGGGAUAGCCCGGCGAAAGCCGGAUUAAUACCGCAUACGAUCUACGGAUGAAAGCGGGGGACCUUCGGGCCUCGCGCUAUAGGGUUGGCUGAUGGCUGAUUAGCUAGUUGGUGGGGUAAAGGCCUACCAAGGCGACGAUCAGUAGCUGGUCUGAGAGGACGACCAGCCACACUGGGACUGAGACACGGCCCAGACUCCUACGGGAGGCAGCAGUGGGGAAUUUUGGACAAUGGGCGAAAGCCUGAUCCAGCAAUGCCGCGUGUGUGAAGAAGGCCUUCGGGUUGUAAAGCACUUUUGUCCGGAAAGAAAUCCUUGGCCCUAAUACGGUCGGGGGAUGACGGUACCGGAAGAAUAAGCACCGGCUAACUACGUG
RNAcentral lists this ribosomal RNA (486 nucleotides) under uncultured bacterium. RNAcentral's name for it is "partial 16S ribosomal RNA". It matches the Rfam family "Bacterial small subunit ribosomal RNA", at positions 30 to 507 of the family's 1533-position model. The record is from RNAcentral.